This 481-nucleotide ribosomal RNA is filed under the name uncultured bacterium. Its description in RNAcentral is "bacterial SSU rRNA". It matches the Rfam family "Bacterial small subunit ribosomal RNA", at positions 29 to 505 of the family's 1533-position model. The record is from RNAcentral.
AGUGAACGUUGGCGGCGUGCCUAACACAUGCAAGUCGAACGAUCCUUAAGUGGCUUGCCAUUUAAGGAGAGUGGCGAACGGGUGAGUAACACGUGAGUAACCUGCCCUCGAGCGGGGAACAACCCUUCGAAAGGAGGGCUAAUACCGCAUAAUACUCUGUAGCGCAUGCUAUCAGAGUCAAAGCUUUCGAGCGCUUGAGGAUGGGCUUGCGGCCUAUUAGCUAGUUGGUAGGGUAACGGCCUACCAAGGUGACGAUGGGUAGCCGGCCUGAGAGGGUGUACGGCCACACUGGGACUGCGACACGGCCCAGACUCCUACGGGAGGCAGCAGUGAGGAAUUUUGCGCAAUGGGCGAAAGCCUGACGCAGCGACGCCGCGUGGAGGAUGACGGCCUUCGGGUUGUAAACUCCUGUCAGAGGUGAAGAAAUCCCCCCUUCGGGGGGGGCUGACGGUAACCUCAGAGGAAGCCCCGGCUAACUACG